CAGUCGCCGCGGGAACACGUAGGUGGCAAGCGUUAUCCGGAAUUAUUGGGCGUAAAGCGCGCGUAGGCGGUUUUUUAAGUCUGAUGUGAAAGCCCACGGCUCAACCGUGGAGGGUCAUUGGAAACUGGAAAACUUGAGUGCAGAAGAGGAAAGUGGAAUUCCAUGUGUAGCGGCGAAAUGCGCAGAGAUAUGGAGGGACACCAGUGGCGAAGGCGACUUUCUGGUCUGUAACUGACGCUGAUGUGCGAAAGCGUGGGGAUCAAACAGGAUUAGAUACCCCUGUAGUCCCUGUCUCUUAUAC
RNAcentral lists this ribosomal RNA (301 nucleotides) under uncultured bacterium. RNAcentral's name for it is "partial 16S ribosomal RNA". It matches the Rfam family "Bacterial small subunit ribosomal RNA", at positions 509 to 807 of the family's 1533-position model. The record is from RNAcentral.